GCUCAGAGAGUGCCUGUUAGAAAAAAUCAUCUAGAGGCGACUCGUGGGCCAGGAUCAGCACUCAAAGAGACGCCUCUGAACAAAUGGACACCGCAGAGAGUCCGCAACCCCAGGCACCAGCCCAUGUCUGCUAUGAAAUGGCACCACUCAUCACAACAGUCGCCUUACGGCACUCCCGGAUUCAAAAGCUGCAAAAGCAAUCUUCAGCUGCGCCAGGAGGUGAGCUGCUUCAGGCCUGAAGAGGAUUUGUGCACUUACAAACUAGAAUUUUACAGUAAAUUUC
Long non-coding RNA from Archocentrus centrarchus (flier cichlid), 283 nucleotides. RefSeq lists it as uncharacterized. NCBI's taxonomy places the organism in Eukaryota, Metazoa, Chordata, Actinopteri, Cichliformes, Cichlidae. The transcript is spliced from 3 exons. The record is from RefSeq and is a predicted model, not a curated record.